GGGCCGUUAGCUCAGUUGGUAGAGCAACUGACUUUUAAUCAGUAGGUCGUUGGUUCGAACCCAACACGGCUCA
Transfer RNA from Sulfitobacter sp., 73 nucleotides. It matches the Rfam family "tRNA". Rfam says of the family: Transfer RNA (tRNA) molecules are approximately 80 nucleotides in length. Their secondary structure includes four short double-helical elements and three loops (D, anti-codon, and T loops). Lineage: Bacteria; Pseudomonadati; Pseudomonadota; Alphaproteobacteria; Rhodobacterales; Roseobacteraceae. The record is from Rfam.